This 764-nucleotide long non-coding RNA is filed under the name Pan troglodytes (chimpanzee). RNAcentral describes it as "long non-coding RNA NONPTRT006797". The record is from RNAcentral. Lineage: Eukaryota; Metazoa; Chordata; Mammalia; Primates; Hominidae.
CGCCACCACACCCGGCUAAUUUUUUUGUAUUUUUAGUAGAAACUUUUGUAUUGUUAGUAGAGAUGGGUUUUCACCAUGUUGGCCAGGCUGGUCUUGAACUUCUGACCUCAAGUCAUCUGCCCACCUCCACCUCCCAAAGUGCUGGGAUUAUAGAUAUGAGCCACCACACCUGACCUCAUUUCUUAUAUUCUUUCAUCCAUCCAUUCUCCAACUACCAAUCCACGCAUGCACACAUGCAUGAUUUGCUCCAUCCAUCCACCCACACAUACACACAUCUUUUCAUCCAUCACUCCUCCACUAUCUGUGUAUCUACUCAUCCACCAUCUACUCUUACACUUAUCCAUCCAUGCAUGGAUUCAUCCAUCUGUCCAUGUUACAAACAUUUAUUGAGCAAUACACCAGACAUCAUACUAGGCUCUGGGAGUAGACUGAUGAGCCCUCAGGGUGCUUCCAGUCUACUGGGGAGACAGAAAGGCCAAUAAACAAGUACGGGGUGAUAAGUUCUCUGAUUAGGUAGAGUGAGGGGAGAUGCACGAGGAACAAGCAAAGGCACCUUGCUCAGACCUGGGCACCUAGGAAGGCUUCCCACAAAAGCUGCAUCUGAAGGAUGAAUAUGAGGUGGACAGGCAAAGGAAUGGGGACAGGCAAACAACAUGUGCGGCAAAGAGACCAGCCCAUGCAAAGACACAGAGCUGCAAGAUAAACAGCUCACCUGGAAUGCAGCAUGUGAAGCGAGGAGAGGGCUUGGGACACCUGCUGUCCUG